Molecule: ribosomal RNA, 448 nt
Filed under: uncultured bacterium
Lineage: Bacteria
Description: bacterial SSU rRNA
Rfam family: Bacterial small subunit ribosomal RNA
Source: RNAcentral
UCGAGAAUUUUUGACAAUGGGGGAAACCCUGAUCGAGCGACGCCGCGUGGAGGAUGAAGGUCUUCGGGUUGUAAACUCCUGUCAUUUGGGAACAAGGCGCAUGUAUUAACUGUACGUGCGUUGAUAGUACCAGAAGAGGAAGAGACGGCUAACUCUGUGCCAGCAGCCGCGGUAAUACAGAGGUCUCAAGCGUUGUUCGGAUUCAUUGGGCGUAAAGGGUGUGUAGGUGGCGCGCUAAGUCGGGUGUGAAAUUUCGGAGCUUAACUCCGAAACUGCAUUCGAUACUGGCGUGCUUGAGGACUGGAGAGGAGACUGGAAUUCAUGGUGUAGCAGUGAAAUGCGUAGAGAUCAUGAGGAAGACCAGUGGCGAAGGCGGGUCUCUGGACAGUUCCUGACACUGAGGCACGAAGGCCAGGGGAGCAAACGGGAUUAGAUACCCCUGUAGUCC